Long non-coding RNA from Brassica rapa (field mustard), 2393 nucleotides. RefSeq lists it as uncharacterized. NCBI's taxonomy places the organism in Eukaryota, Viridiplantae, Streptophyta, Magnoliopsida, Brassicales, Brassicaceae. The record is from RefSeq and is a predicted model, not a curated record.
UCUUGGGCUGUUAUUUUUUUUGAUCCGUGAAAAGGGAAGCCCAAAUCUGGGAAAAUCUUAUAAUGUCGACAUCUCAUCUCUUCACUCUUUAGUAACUCUAAAACGGCCAGGUAUGAAUCUCUUCGACAUCUCAUCUCUUCGAUAUCUCAUCUCUUCGCCAUUUCCCCUUCUUCUUUUAACUAAGAUGCUUGACCAUUUGCUGUGCCUCUUUGGAUACCACGAUCUAUUCAAACUCCGAUCAAAGCAAGUGUAUCGGUUUCAGUUUUCACUUUGAUUUCCUUGAAGCCCUAACUAGAAAUCCGACAAUAGAUCCACUGUUCAAUCCUCCUUCCAUGGAAACCCUUUCCUGUGUUUGUGCUCAAUUCCAAGAUGGGAGGCGAAUGAGUAUUCUUUGAAGCUUACGCUGGCAGAUAGUAUGUCUUCAUGAUGUAUCCCUUUCUUUGGUAUUUUCUUUUGGUUUAUUUUUUAAAAUCUUUUGAAUUUCAGUUAUAUAAUCCUUAUUCGUUAUGCUAAUGGUAUUAGGGGAUUUUGUAAUAUCAACCAGAUUAAGAUUGAAGAAUUAAAGUAUAUCAAUCUUACAUUGUCGGCAGUAGCUAUAUUAGUUAAUGUCGGUUUGGUUUUCUUUCUGAUUAGAUCUCAUACAUUAAACUCACAAACAAAAUUAACUUGGUUUUGUUUGUAGUUGGGAAUGGGAUUGAUUAGGUUUUGGACAGUCCAAGUAAGUGGGGACAUCGUUGAUAAAGACAGCAAGAAAUGCGUGUCAACGUGUUCAAGUUCAUUGCAUUUUUCAUAAGAGACUAUAUGCGUAUACAUAUACAAUGUACAUGUUUUUUCUCAAAUAUAUUGUGCACUUUGGAUCAAAGUAAACGCAUUAUCUACUUUUAUAAACCAUCCAAGUAGAUUAGGCGCUUCUGAUAAGCUUUCAGACUCUGUUUGUAUCUUACAGCUAUUGAUGGAAACUCAUUAGUCUUCAUGAUUCUGUUUUUUUUUUUGGAAGAUUACAAGCUGAGGGAUCUCAUGAGGUGUACAUUUUCAUAUUCGAUGUAGAGCAUAGACCCAUUGGAUUGGCCAAAACGGAUAUACAUAAUCCAAGGGAAAGGAAGAGGGAAGGCUUCAACCGUAGAGGAUAUAAGUCGUGAGGAUCAGAAAAAAGUCUGAGGCAGAUCUCAGCGCUAAUUCUUAUCUACUAUCCCAGGGGACAAAGCCUGCUUAUGGUUCUUUCGAUCAAAUGGGAAACAUGGUUACGAUUAUCAAAGCUUUAUCAGAUUAUGUUCAUAGCAAACGGCUUAAGCUUGGAAUCUACUCUGAUGCUGAGUAUAUGUAUAUACACAACUGCCACUCAUUAUUAUGGUUCAUAAGAGAUCAGAGAUCGCUGGUGAUAUAGAUUGGUGCCAGUUUCAUCUUUUGCGACGUAUCUCCUUGAUGUUUGAAUGAUCAUAUUGAAACAUACAAGCCGAAGGAGGGAACAUACGACUUGGUAGCAACCAGAGAUAUCUCAUUACAGAACAAGUUCCAUACAAAAGGAAUGGAAUAUAUAGAGAUAACUACUCUAGAAGAUGAGAACGAGAUAAAAAUCGUUCUUGCUGAGUCCAAAGAAAGGAAGCCAGCGAGGAAAUGGUGGAGCUACUGAAGCAGUUGCAGCAAGCAACUCAAGAAGCUGAUGAAGCGAGAUCAUCCUGGCCUUGCUUGUGAAAAGCUGUGAAUGUUUUGAGAAGAGGCAAAGGAAAAAAAGGCUCGACCAGGUACAAUUGAGAGCCGUUUAUUUACAGCUAAGAAGAAAUUGAGGCUGCUAAAGAUUUUUAGAGGUUGGCAUUAGCUGCUGCCAUCAAGGUUUUCGAGAGCGAACAUGCUUUCAAGUAAAACAAUGUUGAUUGUCCGUCAAGCCUAACACUGUCACUAACAGAGUAAUAUGAGCUUAGCAAGUGUACUCAUGAGGCUUAAGAAAAAGCCAACACAAGGGUUGCAGAAAUUCUGAGAUCGAGGUAGCCAAAGAAACAGAGAAAAUAUGCAAAGAGAGGUUGGAAUAAAUAAACAAAGAUAGGGUUGGGAAAAUGGAGACACUCGCAGAAGCAACUGAGAAAGUUAAGAAGGCUAAAGAAAGAAGUUUGGUGUAGAGCAAGAGGCAAAAAAAUGGAGGAAGAACAUGUAGUAAAGAGAAAGAUUGGUAAUGGAGCGAACAUUGAGAAUAUUCAAAGGAAGGUUUUAUGGGAAGAAGCUGCUGCAAAGUUUCGGGUACAUUACCAAAAAAAAUAGUAGCUUAAAAAUUCAAAGGAUACCAAAAUAGAAAUAAAGGAAUAACAAUCAUAAACAAGUUUCGUUAACUUCUUAUCUUUUUUGCUUAAUGUACAUUUUAAUAUUAAGAAAAAGAUAAUUUUGAGUUCUAUUUUAAAACU